GACGAACGCUGGCGGCGCGCCUAACACAUGCAAGUCGAACGGAGUCAAGAGGAGCUUGCUUUUCUUGACUUAGUGGCGAACGGGUGAGUAACGCGUGAGUAACCUGCCCUGGAGUGGGGGACAACAGUUGGAAACGACUGCUAAUACCGCAUAAGCCCACGGAUCCGCAUGGAUCUGCGGGAAAAGGAUUUAUUCGCUUCAGGAUGGACUCGCGUCCAAGUAUCAAGUUGGUGAGGUAACGGCCCACCAAGGCGACGAUUGGUAGCCGGACUGGGAGGUUGAACGGCCACAUUGGGACUGAGACACGGCGCAGACUCCUACGGGAGGCAGCAGUGGGGGAUAUUGCACAAUGGGGGAAACCCUGAUGCAGCGGCGCCGCGUGAAGGAAGAAGGUGUUAGGAUUGUAAACUCCUGUCGUGAGGGACGAUAAUGACGGUACCUAACAAGAAAGCACCGGCUAACUACGUG
Molecule: ribosomal RNA, 468 nt
Filed under: uncultured bacterium
Lineage: Bacteria
Description: partial 16S ribosomal RNA
Rfam family: Bacterial small subunit ribosomal RNA
Source: RNAcentral